Molecule: long non-coding RNA, 2034 nt
Organism: Plodia interpunctella (Indianmeal moth)
Lineage: Eukaryota; Metazoa; Arthropoda; Insecta; Lepidoptera; Pyralidae
Exons: 6
Source: RefSeq, a predicted model, not a curated record
CGCCCAGCCCGCCGCGCACGAGAACGCGGCGCGCCCGCCCACGCCGCGCGACACCACCGCCACGCGCGGCCGUCGCUCGCCCUCGCUCAGCGGCGUGUCGUGGAUCACUUCGCCGCAUUCUACGCCUGUACAUGUAAAGGUGCGCUCCAGUUGCCAGAAGCCCUGCAGACAAGGGCGUGAGCUCCCAACAGAGCGUUGCCGUUGGCACAGUGGAACCUGAUCUCUGUGCCCAGACGGGUGUUCAUUUCGCUUGGCACCAGGCCUCGACGGAUGGGAAGAGGGGGGCAGUGGACAUCUGAGAAAAAUGCAUAAGCAAAGACCACCACUUGCUUCCAGUGAAUGAAAACAUCGUGAGCAAAUCUGCACACUGGUGGAGAGUUUAGUUUACUAGUGUGUAUGCGACUACCUGCCACUAGAUGUAAGGAUAGUGGUGGGUUACAUUCCACUUCGGGUUCCCGAACCUCCUCAUCCAGAGGCACUCCAUGUGCAGCAUGGUCCCAGGGUACACCAGCAGCUUGCCGUCGUUGGUCUGAGCUAUCGGACCCAGGGAGUGACGGAACAGGAUCGUGGGGGGUUUCUCCACUGGAACAGAAAAGAUCAGUUUCCACGUGGUCUUCUCCCCCAUGAUGGAAGCUAUACAUCUGAAGGUGAUCUCGGUGCCGUGAGGGUACCCUUCCAUCACCAUGGUCCCGUUGACUUCGUCACCGUCGCGGUAUAUCAGUGUGCCUUGAACCCUGAACAUUUGGACAGAAUUUUCUAACAAAGCAAAAAUAUUCAUGAUGAAAAAGUUAUUUUUUAAACUUUAAAAAAGAAAACACAUUGAGCAACAGAAACAAAGCUCGGCCAAGACAUAAAAAGCCAACCAUGGCCAUCCAACAGCUUUUUCAACAGACAUACACAAAAAAGUUGUAUGUGUGUGCCUAAAACUAAGCCCCGCCAUCUGAGGAUUUGAAACCUAAUAAGUAAUGAACUUGAAAAAGAUCCCUCAUUCAACAAAAACAUCGAAAAGAAAACAAAAUUUCUUGAUAGAAAUCUUGAUGAUAUUGAAGUAUUCUUUUCAGAAGAUGAAAAUAUUAAUAAUGACAAUAAUGUCUGUUUGAGAUGAUGAUUUCCUUGAUGAUCGUGAUGAAGAAAAUGACAGAGAAUUUAAAGAAGCAAAAGUCCGAACCUAGAAGGCUCUCACCAGGGCUUGGCAUCCCUGAACGCCAGUGUUCCUUUCAGUCUAUCCAGCCAGCAAAUAAGAAACGCAUAUUCUUUGCAAAAACAUUAUUUUUUGUCAUUUACUUGUCAUCCUUUCGGGGAUGAUGCAGGAUUUAAACCAGUCCAACUCUCAGUUGAAGUUAACUUCUACAAUUCACUUGCAAAAUUACACAAUUUUAUUUUCAUUUGUCACAUUGCAAAAAUACAUGAUACACUUUAGGAGAUUGACAAAUGUUAUGAGAGUUCAACUUGUUUUUAAUACAUUGCACAUAAUUCACCAGACAAUAGCAAAGUAAAACUAAAAACAAAGAAAACAACCUGAUAUGCCAAUGCAGCGAUAUACCACUAAAUACCUUACCGAUGUCGUAGUAAUUAAGAUUGGCAAAAUUUCAUCAAAUCAGAUCGGCAAAAUUUCAUCAAAUCAGGACAACGGUAAAAUUGAAAGUUGUGGCAUUAUGGCAACUGCAUGAGAUGUUUGGUAAAAUGAUAAAUGUACAUAAAACAAAACACACGAAAGCUACAAUGAAAGCGCAUCGAAAUAACAAACUUUUGAACGUUUCUGGACAAUUUUUACUUUACAAUACCAAUCGAUACCGUUUUAUUGUCGUAUUGUCAACAAGAAUUUAGAAGAAAGACUAAAUAUCUACAAAAAACUUUCGUCAAAUUACAAGAAUUAAUUUAGUUAGUCUAAAAUAAUGAUAGUUAACAUUACAAAAAUUAUUGCUGAUCGAUUACUUUGGUUUUAGAACCAUUAUAUGGUCAUCUCAAUUGAAAUUUAAUUCAGGGAGUAUACAUUUUUAGUAUUGGUGCAUUCAUCUAUAUGUAUACCUUGCC